This 459-nucleotide ribosomal RNA is filed under the name uncultured bacterium. RNAcentral's name for it is "partial 16S ribosomal RNA". It matches the Rfam family "Bacterial small subunit ribosomal RNA", at positions 338 to 795 of the family's 1533-position model. The record is from RNAcentral.
CCUACGGGAGGCAGCAGUGAGGAAUAUUGGUCAAUGGGAGAGAGCCUGAACCAGCCAAGCCGCGUGAGGGAAGACGGCACUAUGGGUUGUAAACCUCUUUUGUCGGAGAACAAAACCCGGGACGUGUCCCGGACUGCGUGUAUCCGAAGAAAAAGCAUCGGCUAACUCCGUGCCAGCAGCCGCGGUAAUACGGAGGAUGCGAGCGUUAUCCGGAUUUAUUGGGUUUAAAGGGUGCGUAGGCGGUCCGUUAAGUCAGCGGUAAAAUUGCGGGGCUCAACCCCGUCGAGCCGUUGAAACUGGCAGACUUGAGUUGGCGAGAAGUACGCGGAAUGCGCGGUGUAGCGGUGAAAUGCAUAGAUAUCGCGCAGAACCCCGAUUGCGAAGGCAGCGUACCGGCGCCAGACUGACGCUGAGGCACGAAAGCGUGGGGAUCGAACAGGAUUAGAUACCCCUGUAGUC